UACGGAGGGGGCUAGCGUUGUUCGGAAUUACUGGGCGUAAAGCGCACGUAGGCGGCUUUGUAAGUUAGAGGUGAAAGCCCGGGGCUCAACUCCGGAAUUGCCUUUAAGACUGCAUCGCUAGAAUUGUGGAGAGGUAAGUGGAAUUCCUAGUGUAGCGGUGAAAUGCGUAGAGAUUAGGAAGAACACCAGUGGCGAAGGCGACUUACUGGACUGUAACUGACGCUGAGGCAUGAAAGCGUGGGGAGCAAACAGG
Molecule: ribosomal RNA, 253 nt
Filed under: uncultured bacterium
Lineage: Bacteria
Description: partial 16S ribosomal RNA
Rfam family: Bacterial small subunit ribosomal RNA
Source: RNAcentral